GAAGAUAUAGCUGAGUGAUAGAGUGUGUGCUUAGCAUGCAUGAGGCCCUGGGUUCAAUCCUCAGUCUCUCCA
RNAcentral lists this transfer RNA (72 nucleotides) under Camelus bactrianus (Bactrian camel). It matches the Rfam family "tRNA". Rfam says of the family: Transfer RNA (tRNA) molecules are approximately 80 nucleotides in length. Their secondary structure includes four short double-helical elements and three loops (D, anti-codon, and T loops). Lineage: Eukaryota; Metazoa; Chordata; Mammalia; Artiodactyla; Camelidae. The record is from Rfam by way of RNAcentral. RNAcentral also lists the same sequence under 1 other name.